GCUUUUUAUCCACAAAGGGUCUGAAAUCUCUUCACCAUGCUCUGGGCUCCCCUCAUCGUCCUGCUGGGGACGUGGUGCACAGGUUCCAGCUCACAGCGUGUGCUGACUCAGCCACCCUCAGUGUCAGUGUCCCCAGGAAACACCGUGAAACUCUCCUGCACCAUGAGCAGUGGGACCAGCAUCAGUGGCUACUAUCUGUACUGGUACCAACAGAAACCUGGGAAUUCGCCACGAUACCUGCUGAAUUACAAAUCAGAUUCUGACAAAGGCCAGGGCUCUGGGGUCCCUGCUCGCUUCUCUGGUUCCAAAGACACGUCCAGUAACACCGGCUAUUUGACCAUCUCCGGGACCCUCACAGAUGAUGAAGCUGAUUAUUACUGUGCUCUGUGGCACAACAAUGCUUGUCACAGUGACACAGACUGA
This is a non-coding RNA of Mauremys reevesii (Reeves's turtle), 423 nucleotides long. Lineage: Eukaryota; Metazoa; Chordata; Testudines; Geoemydidae. The record is from the annotation of a RefSeq genome assembly.